RNAcentral lists this ribosomal RNA (326 nucleotides) under uncultured eukaryote. Its description in RNAcentral is "partial 18S ribosomal RNA". It matches the Rfam family "Eukaryotic small subunit ribosomal RNA", at positions 1470 to 1796 of the family's 1831-position model. The record is from RNAcentral.
CCCUUAGAUGUUCUGGGCCGCACGCGCGCUACACUGAUGCAUUCAACAAGCCUAGCCUUGACCGAGAGGUCCGGGUAAUCUUUGAAACUGCAUCGUGAUGGGGCUAGAUUAUUGCAAUUAUUAAUCUUCAACGAGGAAUGCCUAGUAAGCGUGAUUCAUCAAAUCGCGUUGAUUACGUCCCUGCCCGUUGUACACACCGCCCGUCGCUCCUACCGAUUGAAUGUGUUGGUGAGGAGCUCGGAUUGGCAGCAGUUGGUGGUUCGCCACCGGCUAUUGCUGAGAAGUCCUCCAAACCGCCCCAUUUAGAGGAAGGAGAAGUCGUAACA